This 1329-nucleotide long non-coding RNA is filed under the name Gallus gallus (chicken). RNAcentral describes it as "lncRNA (ENSGALG00010015741.1)". The record is from RNAcentral. Lineage: Eukaryota; Metazoa; Chordata; Aves; Galliformes; Phasianidae.
CUGGCUCUCAGUGCAGUGGAUGCACUCAGGAAAGACAGAUGAUGAACCAGAUAUAUUCAGAAUCACACUGGCCAGUUUGUCGCCUGCUCUCUAGCAAAGCUGAAGAACUGAAAUUCUCAGGGACAAAUCUAUCAACUGGAAAUUGCUUUGGUUCAAUUCAGUGCUCUGUUCCUGAAAUUUUUGAGAUGAAGAAUUUGGCAAGACUACCAUCCACUAAACAGUUGUCAGCAAAACCAGGGCUGUGAAAUGCUCCUUUUCAGGUUUUGAUGCUACGCCUGUUUAUUCGAAGAUUUGGUAGUUCUUGUGAUUUUAUCAGCAUCUCAUUAGGCUUUUCAGAAGACUCUCAUCAAUUUAUGCAAUGAAGAAUUUUAAAAAAGUAAAGCCUAGAAAACCCAAACCAAGUCUAAUUUAAAAACACAACAACAAAAACAUGCAAAGCAAUGUAUCAAGACUAAUGACUGACAAUUUAAGGGCCUUCUAUGCUGAGUGACAACAUCAAUGGACCAAGGAAGGACAGCUGAUGUUGUCUACUUGGACUUGUACAAGGCUUGUGACAUUCUAAACCAUUCUAUGAUUUUAUUAUAUAGAAUGAAGGUACUGCUUGUGUUUAAUUAUCUACAGCUACACAGUCAAAUAAUGAAUUCUACAGCUUCCUAGUCACAUAAUUACAUAGGAUUGAUCCAGAAGUUUCAUUAUGUGAAAAUUGUUACCCUUUUGUUGGAGUGAUAUCAUUAAAACAAAGUGGAAUCCCCUCCACAGAAUAACAUAAGAUAAUUUACCCCCAUUAUUUUCUUAAUAUCUUUAAGUAUAACCUUACUGUUCAGGAUGGGAACAACGAAUGUCUUUGUAUUGUACCUUUAAUUGUACUAUUUCUAUGACAGAAAUGUAGAGCUGUUCUGUUACUGGUUAAUUAAAAACUAAAUUUCUUUUCCUUACACUCUGAAUUUCCACUUAAAGUUAAUUAUGGAAAAUAACAAAUAGCAAAAUGUUCCUUUUCCAGAGUAAGUUCCCACUGGGACUGAGUAAAAAUGUUAAUAAUUAAUCAAAUAGUCUAACUUCAUAUUAUUUUUUGCUACCUCACACAUAUGAAAAACCCCACUGAUGUUGUUUUACUUUUUUUUUUUUUUUUGGUUUCAUAAAUAUUUAUGUAUAAUUGCAUUUUCCUACUAAAUGGCAUUUUUUUCUGCCCAAAGGGAGGAAAAACAAUUUGUGUGUUAAUUUUAUCUCACUGGUUUUGUUCAGCUCCAGUAGCUCUGUAUAUAAAAUAAGAGAUUAGAUAAAAAGAAAUGCACACAACCUGUGUUUGUUACUGUAGACGAUAAUAAUUAG